AUAACAUCAGACGGCCCCUAGUGUUCCCUCAAACACCUCAUUGGAAAUUAAUAGGGAGUCCUAAGUAAUCCAUCUCUCUCUCUCUCCCUCUCUUUACUGAAGUGUUUGGGGGAACCCCUGGAGCCAUUUGAUCCAU
This is a non-coding RNA of Malus domestica (apple), 136 nucleotides long. Lineage: Eukaryota; Viridiplantae; Streptophyta; Magnoliopsida; Rosales; Rosaceae. The record is from RefSeq and is marked provisional.